GAUGAACGCUGGCGGCGUGCCUAAUACAUGCAAGUCGAGCGAACAGACGAGGAUCUUGCUCCUCUGACGUUAGCGGCGGACGGGCGAGUAACACGUGGAUAACCUACCUAUAAGACUGGGAUAACUUCGGGAAACCGGAGCUAAUACCGGAUAAUAUAUUGAACCGCAUGGUUCAAUAGUGAAAGACGGUUUUGCUGUCACUUAUAGAUAGAUCCGCGCCGCAUUAGCUAGUUGGUAAGGUAACGGCUUACCAAGGCAACGAUGCGUAGCCGACCUGAGAGGGUGAUCGGCCACACUGGAACUGAGACACGGUCCAGACUCCUACGGGAGGCAGCAGUAGGGAAUCUUCCGCAAUGGGCGAAAGCUUGACGGAGCAACGCCGCGUGAGUGAUGAAGGUCUUCGGAUCGUAAAACUCUGUUAUUAGGGAAGAACAAAUGUGUAAGUAACUAUGCACGUCUUGACGGUACCUAAUCAGAAAGCCACGGCUAACUACGUG
RNAcentral lists this ribosomal RNA (497 nucleotides) under uncultured bacterium. Its description in RNAcentral is "partial 16S ribosomal RNA". It matches the Rfam family "Bacterial small subunit ribosomal RNA", at positions 28 to 507 of the family's 1533-position model. The record is from RNAcentral.